Molecule: long non-coding RNA, 358 nt
Filed under: Homo sapiens (human)
Lineage: Eukaryota; Metazoa; Chordata; Mammalia; Primates; Hominidae
Description: non-protein coding lnc-CFAP46-3:5
Source: RNAcentral
CUAACACACAUCACACACGAAAACACAUCACACAAGCACACAUCACGCACGCUAACACACAUCACACACUAACACACAUCACACACUAACACACAUCACACGUGCUAAAACACAUCACACAAGCACACAUCACACACACUAACACAUCACACACACGAAAACACAUCACACAAGCACACAUCACACACACUAACACACACAUCACACACUAACACACAUCACACGUGCUAAAACACGUCACACAAGCACACAUCACACACACUAACACAUCACACAAGCACACAUCACACACGCUAACACAUCACACACUAACACACAUCACACGUGCUAAAACACAUCACACAAGCACACAUCACAC